GACGUAGGGCGCGAGCGUUGUCCGGAUUUAUUGGGCGUAAAGAGCUCGUAGGCGGCUUGUCGCGUCGUCCGUGAAAACUUGGGGCUCAACCCCAAGCUUGCGGUCGAUACGGGCAGGCUAGAGUUCGGUAGGGGAGACUGGAAUUCCUGGUGUAGCGGUGAAAUGCGCAGAUAUCAGGAGGAACACCUGCGGCGAAGGCGGGUUGCUGGGCCGACACUGACGCUGAGGCGCGAAAGCCAGGGGGAGCGAACGGG
RNAcentral lists this ribosomal RNA (254 nucleotides) under uncultured bacterium. RNAcentral describes it as "partial 16S ribosomal RNA". It matches the Rfam family "Bacterial small subunit ribosomal RNA", at positions 524 to 776 of the family's 1533-position model. The record is from RNAcentral.